This is a long non-coding RNA of Pyrus x bretschneideri (Chinese white pear), 5633 nucleotides long. RefSeq lists it as uncharacterized. Lineage: Eukaryota; Viridiplantae; Streptophyta; Magnoliopsida; Rosales; Rosaceae. The transcript is spliced from 3 exons. The record is from RefSeq and is a predicted model, not a curated record.
AAUUGUAGCUUUUCUCUUUGGAACACAUGCUAGCAACUUUCGUAUUUAAAUUUUCUCCCUCUUUAAACAUGAAGUAUACUAAAAUUCAACCAAAUUCAAAAUGUGUGGUAAUAGACAAAUCAUGUCAUCCGAUAAACACUGAAAUUUUGUCAAUUUAAAUAACUAUUACUCGUGUAAUCAUACGAUAAACAUCAUUUCAAUUUUCAUAUAUAUUAGUCGCCUAUGGAUCUCUAAUAUAAGAAACACAUAGAAUUUUCUACCUAGAAAAUUACUUCCAAAAAGAAAAGGAGAGACCCCCGUUUCCUGUUGCAAAAUUCGGAAAACCCCCAAAAUCAAACUACCCGGCAAACUGGCACCAAAAAUAUGGAGGGGAGUUCCGGCGCCUCUUCCGACGCCGCAAUCGAAACCCUAAGAACCAGAUGAUGGUGCUUCGGCAACCUUGAACAAGUGGAGGAGAAGAUCCUGAUCCACCCCGCCUUGUCCGACGACACGCGUACGGUAGUGAACUCAAUGGAAGCCGAGCUCACCAACAUGAACCUUAAAUCCAUCUCCGCCAGGUCCAUGCCCGACCCGCAUACGCUCCUAAGGUCCUCUCACCUCCUCGGCCCCAAAGUCCUCCAGGUAAAUCACACCUCUCUGUAUUUCUCGUUAAUUUUUCUUGUCGUCUGUUUGGUUGCUGAGAAAAUAGAUAUAGAGAAAGAAAAAUGUGGUCUUUCCUUUGUGUUUCGUUAUCAAUGGCUUGGGUAAGGGACGUUGCUAAAAGCAGUACGGAGGAUUUUUCGAUGAAUUUGAGUCGUCGACGGCUUUUGAUGCCUGACGAUCCCUGACGACGGCCACAGCUGUGGAGUACUCUCAUACCCCGGCAAUCCCUGACGACGUCGUUCCUGGAACUAGGGUCUGUUCGGAAGGUAACGGAAUAGUAUGUUUGAGUCCUAAAGUUGUGACUGUUGGGAGAUGUUGUUCAAUCAAUUUACGAAGAAUGGCAGAAGAACACAAAAUAUUCCGAGUUUUCACAUUCAUCUUUAAGGAUUUCACAGGAAAGUGAUGGUAACGGCCCCCUCCAUUUGAGAAGUUGCAAGUUGGGGCAGCUAAAAGUCGGUUUCCUCGGCAGGACAAGUUUUCACAUCAGUAUUCUUGAGCUAUUGAUUUCAUAAUAUUAGUUUAUGUCUUUUAACGUAAUGUUAAACCACUCAUUAUUGCUAUUGCAUGCAUAUCUCAUGGGCAAGAUGCAAUCAUUGGCAGAUUACUCUGAUGUUAGCUCCAGGAGUAGUGAGCCUAUUGCCAGAAUUACUGAGGUUAGACCAGUUGGAAGACAGUGGAACCUUCAAUUGAAAGCAAAUGACGAGGAUAAAUCUUGUAAAAAAAGUGAGAUAGAUAACACUCGUAAGGUAGAUUCCCUUGAUGAAAGAACUCAAGACUAAAGAAGGUGGAUUUUCAUUCGUGUCCAAAUUGUACCUUGUUUAGGGAUGAAUAGACUUGAGCCCCUAGCUUGAAUUUACCUAUCAAGUCCCAAACCUGAAAAUGAUAGAUUAAACUAGAGACGGAAAGGAGUUGCUUUUAUCUCCAUGAAGUUGUAUUUAUCAUCUAUGCAGUGUUGACUAUUAAGUAUGGUUACGCCGGUAAAAUGAGAACGUGCAUUUGAAUAGAAAACGUUGGGUGCACUUGGAGGGCAAGUAUUUUUGCGAAUUUGAGUGGUAUUUAUCAAGUCAUUAGAUGUGUGUCUUAUAUCGGUUUUUGUAAUGUUGAAAUGUUCCAGGAUGCAAUAUAUCUUCAAAAUUCAAAACAAUUAUUUCCUGCAAAAAUCAUAAAAAUCUGAAAGAAGUAUGAAAUAUUGAGUUGCUGAUGGUGAAGCUGGCAGUGAUCAGUAGUCCAUGAACUCGGAUAUGUGAUGAUGAGGAUGAGCUGAUGAUGACUAUGCAUCACCGGCUUGAUCAUGCCUCACCAUAGAAUCGAUCUAAUAUAGACAGAAGAUGCUCUCACUUCAAAAAUUUUGCCUUUUUCCAAUUCUGUCAUCUGUAGUAAUUCUCAUCAUAGAUCUAAAUCAUGUAUAUUUUCCUUCAUAUGUUUGUCACACACUAAUUAACCCAUGUCCUCUUCAAUGUCUCAGGAAAAUCAAGAGAAGGGGAUUAAUUGAUUAGCCUUUCGCUCUCCCCAAAUGGUAAAGGUCAACAGAGUCAGGCGUCCGACUGAAUGUGGCCUGAGAAAGUGGAUUGAUGAUCAGGAGACAAAGAAAGACAUGCAAAGGAUUUGCAAAGGCCCGCAAGAGGAUCAUCGUCCAUUGAGUUGGAUGUCUGCUCUCUACUGUCACUGACCGCUGGAUCCUGUGGCUGCCGCUGGAGAAGUACCGGGAGAUUAUGAGGAUGUGGUCAAGGUUGAGAGGACGCUGUCGUGAGCGAGGCCGAAUAUGACGGCGUGCAGGGAGAGUCUCAAGAGACAAGGAAAGACGUAAAUGCGCUAGGCCCAGAGGAUCAUGAUCAUGUCCUGUUAUUGGGAGUCGUCGUUUCUUCGUGGUCGUAACAAUCGCUUCACCCAUAGAAUUCCAAAGUUUAGACCUGGAGGAGGAUGAAGAGGAAGCUUCGUGGGCUGUCAUGGCGGUAUCCACCGUUAUGGCACUGCAACGGUUCAGAUUAAGACUGAAAAAUAUGGCAGUGGUUGUGUUUGUGUUGCCAAACCGAUGACACUGAGAUACCUAGACCCAAGUCAAGAUCCUUCAACAAAAACAAAAGUUUAUAAUAUAAUAAUGUUUAGUUAGUGACUUGAGAAGGAAAGAUAUCCUCUCUGAAUCUCUUCUUUCAAAGUUCACGGAUCAAGUGAUCCGUAUCCUUAAAAUUUGAUUAAACGGUAAAAAAUUAUUAUAACUUUUAAAAGUUUUUACUAACUUUUCUGUUUUUUAGCCGUUUGAUCAAAUAGGUUCAGAUCACUUGAUUUGUGGACUUUGGAGGAAAAGAUCCGGAGAGAGGUGUACAGAAAGAGAGAGGAAAAGAGGAAAUUAAGAAAGGAACCCGAAAGAACAAAAGACUAUCCAAAAGAUUAUUGGAAACUCUGAAAGAUGUUUUAUUCACGUUAAGUGAAAGUAGAACUGUAGAGUGGACCAGAUCAAUCUUCAUUUAAAAAUGUUGAAGGUAGAGAGUAGGGCUAGAGUGAUACAGUUUUGGCACAUGACGGGCAGGGCAAGGAAAAAGCGGAUGGAGCAAUGCCAAAGCACUCAUAUGUAAUACAAUUGGUUGAUUUUUUUUUUUUUUUUUUAGUUUUAAGCCAAUUGUAUUGCGAUACUUGUUGUACCAAACUGUGUAUCCGACAAACUAACAAAUCUCUGCACUCCCAUGACCACUAAUUAGUCUCGAAGAAUUCCAUUAUCUUCCUCUUUAUAUAUAUUGUGGUACUUUUUAGUAUGCUAGGAAAGAAACAGUAUAUCUCAAUAAUAACAAGUUAACCUCGCACAAUUUUGCUCCAUUUAACCAUAUAUUAUUGUCAUCAGAGACAACAACUGAUUGGCUUAAAUUGAACAUACUUCAUAAAUAAUUCGACCCUCAACAAAAAAUUUCGAAGGGAUCGAGCAAUCCUACUAGCACGUUAUAAUUCCUCAAUUCAUCAAGGCUAGUUAGCCAGCAUAAAAACAUGAAAAAUAAACUACUAAUUUUUUAUGCAGCAUGUGCAUAAUCAUAACCAUCGUCAUCGUUGUCGUCAUCAUCACCUUCCAUAGAUGCUGCUGGAGCAUAAUCAUAAUUUAAAUCAUCGUUAGCGCCAUCACCUUCUAUGCAAUCUGCAGGGGCAUAAUCGGCAUCAUCCCCAUGCUUCUUGCACCACGAGGCACUUAUCAUCAAUUUUGAAAGGGGAAGCAAAUUGCCAAAAAAACCUCUCUUAUCUCAAUAUUUCCUCGUUAGCGGUUGUUUGAGAGCACUUCUCUAUACGUCAUUAUUAUUAGGAAGAAAUAUAUAUAUAUAUAUAACUAGACGAAUACUCGGUUGUUUGAGAGUGCUUCUCUAUAAAACACUUUUGUUAGUAGCACGUUUACGAAGUAGUUUGUUAUUUGGCAAACAACCCAAUAGGUGCUUUUAUAUUAUAAAGAAGUGACUUUUACAGCAUAAAAGACAUGUUUAAAUAUUGAGUGAAGUGUUUGGUGCAAAAAUUUCUUAGUCUAUGAUGCCUGAUUUAUGUUGUAUGAUGUUCAAAUUUCAACACACAAACUUUAAAACAUACUUUUCAACUUCUUUAGGCUUCCUCAAACUUGUUAGAAUUCCUCUAUCCCGCAUCGGCCAGAAAGCUUGAGAACAAGUCAUUUAAAUAGAAUUACCUCACUUUAACUAAUACCGAGGCCUUUUGCAAUAAAACCCCACAUCUGAUGGAUUGAGCAUGUAGCCAAGUGAAGACAGUAGAUGUGUUGUUAGAGUGGAUCCUUGGGCCUGUCUACCUGAAAUUUAACAAACUUCAACUUUCAAACAUGUUGCAAUCAUAAGGAAAUAAGAUGUCCAAGUCUAAGUCCCAAGCCAUUUUAUGUCUUUCCUUUCUCUUAACAAAAACCAACUUAAAUUUUUUUAUUUAUUUCCUUCCCUUUGUUCAUCUACAAAUGCUAUUUCCGAUAAGAUGAGAUCUUUUAAUUUGUAAAAGUUAUUUAUGUAUCUAAGUUGAGCUCCACAUUAAAUUUAAUGGUAGAUAUAGGUGGGCAUGGAGUUUUAAAAAAGAGAGAAAAUACAAAAAUAAUGUUAAAAUUGGCAGCACUUAUUGAAGCCGCUAUUUCAUAUGACUAAAACAUUUCAGUUAAAGCCAAACUCAAUUGUGUUUUCUAAAAGUUAAUGAUGUCAUUAUAAAUUUGACAUAUCAUUUAAAAACGCUCUUAUCAUGUUUCAGUUUAAGCUCGGUUCUACUCAUUCCAAUAUGCUCUUAGGAAUCCAAAAUCGAGGUCGAAUCAUUUAAAAGACCAUCCAAAUUACAUUCUAAUUAAGAAGCGUGUAUGUAUAAAUAUUCAACAACUCUCACAUCUAAAGAUUUCAUUGCCAAAAAAUUGAGAAACAAUUGAGAAACAAUGAGAGAUUAAGCAUUAAUUAAUCCGCCCUCUGUUUAAUUAGCGAAACAACAAAACACAACAUUUCCUUCAACUCCUCACACGUAAUAAUCCGGCUAGCAGAGACAGAGACAAUGAGAGUAGUUGUUAAAUUUAUUAGCUUGAGCCAUGAGGCAUGCUGAAAGAUGGAAUGCUUUAGUAGUGAUAGGAACUUAAUCUUAGAUUGUUGGCAUGCAUUUAUAAUCUAUUUUUCUCCAUUCUUCUCUCAUUUGUUUGAACUCUAGGAGUUUUGUUACAAGCAAAGGAAUAGUUGGAUAAGAUCGAGAAAUAGCCUCUUGCUAGAUGAAUUCAAGAAAUGCACAACUUAACCUCUUAUAAGUUUUAGACCUAGCCCAUUUCAUCUAAUUUUACGCUAAUCAUGUCGUGUGUGUGGAUUUUUUUUUGACACAUCUGUUUAAUCUAGUAGCUAAUGAGAUCAAAGCUUUGUUGUCUUUAUUCGAGAUUGCUUUUUAAUCAUAUUCACUCUUUGUUCUUUUGCAGUGUGAUCCUAUUUCCAAUAGCGACUUUCUAUAUCAUGUGGUGCAUUGGAAAUGACCCCAAUAGAGCAAUUAGAUAAAUUCAGGCAUCACAG